This 480-nucleotide ribosomal RNA is filed under the name uncultured bacterium. RNAcentral describes it as "bacterial SSU rRNA". It matches the Rfam family "Bacterial small subunit ribosomal RNA", at positions 30 to 506 of the family's 1533-position model. The record is from RNAcentral.
UUGAACGCUGGCGGCAUGCCUUACACAUGCAAGUCGAACGGUAACAGGUCUUCGGAUGCUGACGAGUGGCGAACGGGUGAGUAAUACAUCGGAACGUGCCCGAUCGUGGGGGAUAACGCAGCGAAAGCUGUGCUAAUACCGCAUACGAUCUACGGAUGAAAGCGGGGGACCUUCGGGCCUCGCGCGAUUGGAGCGGCUGAUGUCGGAUUAGCUAGUUGGUGGGGUAAAGGCCUACCAAGGCGACGAUCCGUAGCUGGUCUGAGAGGAUGAUCCGCCACACUGGGACUGAGACAUGGCCCAGACUCCUACGGGAGGCAGCAGUGGGGAAUUUUGGACAAUGGGCGAAAGCCUGAUCCAGCCAUGCCGCGUGAGUGAAGAAGGCCUUCGGGUUGUAAAGCUCUUUCAGCCGGAAAGAAAUCGCGCAGGCUAAUACUCUGCGUGGAUGACGGUACCGGAAGAAGAAGCACCGGCUAACUACGU